UACGAAGGGGGCUAGCGUUGUUCGGAUUUACUGGGCGUAAAGCGCACGUAGGCGGAUCGUUAAGUCGGGGGUGAAAUCCUGGAGCUCAACUCCAGAACUGCCUUCGAUACUGGCGAUCUUGAGUCCGGAAGAGGUGAGUGGAACUCCUAGUGUAGAGGUGAAAUUCGUAGAUAUUCGGAAGAACACCAGUGGCGAAGGCGACACACUGGCCCGUUACUGACGCUGAGGCGCGAAAGCGUGGGGAGCAAACAGG
This 253-nucleotide ribosomal RNA is filed under the name uncultured bacterium. RNAcentral describes it as "partial 16S ribosomal RNA". It matches the Rfam family "Bacterial small subunit ribosomal RNA", at positions 524 to 776 of the family's 1533-position model. The record is from RNAcentral.